GCCGGGCACGAUGGCUCAUGCCUGUAAUCCCAGCACCUUGGGAGGCCGAGGCAGAUGGAUCACCUGAGGUCAGGAGUUCGAGACCAGACUGGCCAACCUGGUGAAACGCUGUCUCUACUAAAAAUACAAAAAUUAGCCAGGAGAUUUGGUGGGUGCCUGUAAUCCCAGCUACUCAGGAGGCUGAGGCAGGAAAAUCACUUGAACCCAGGAGGCAGAGAUUGCAGUGAGCCAAGAUUGCACCAUUGCACUCCAGCCUGGGCAACAGAGUGAGACUUUAUCUCA
RNAcentral lists this small RNA (282 nucleotides) under Saimiri boliviensis boliviensis (Bolivian squirrel monkey). RNAcentral's name for it is "Metazoan signal recognition particle RNA (ENSSBOG00000014599.1)". Lineage: Eukaryota; Metazoa; Chordata; Mammalia; Primates; Cebidae. The record is from RNAcentral.